Molecule: ribosomal RNA, 89 nt
Filed under: Eleutherococcus brachypus
Lineage: Eukaryota; Viridiplantae; Streptophyta; Magnoliopsida; Apiales; Araliaceae
Description: partial 5.8S ribosomal RNA
Rfam family: 5.8S ribosomal RNA
About the family: 5.8S ribosomal RNA (5.8S rRNA) is a component of the large subunit of the eukaryotic ribosome. It is transcribed by RNA polymerase I as part of the 45S precursor that also contains 18S and 28S rRNA.
Source: RNAcentral
UGAAUUGCAGAAUCCCGUGAACCAUCGAGUCUUUGAACGCAAGUUGCGCCCGAAGCCAUUAGGCCGAGGGCACGUCUGCCUGGGCGUCA